GACGAACCGAGCGAACGUUGUUCGGAAUCACUGGGCUUAAAGGGCGCGUAGGCGGGCUGCCGCGUCCGGGGUGAAAUCCCACGGCUCAACCGUGGAACGGCCCCGGGUACGGGCGCCUCGAGGAGGCGAGGGCGGUGCGGAACUUCGGGUGGAGCGGUGAAAUGCGUAGAUAUCCGAAGGAACACCGGUGGCGAAAGCGGCGCGCUGGACCUCUUCUGACGCUGAGGCGCGAAAGCCAGGGGAGCAAACGGG
This 252-nucleotide ribosomal RNA is filed under the name uncultured bacterium. RNAcentral describes it as "partial 16S ribosomal RNA". It matches the Rfam family "Bacterial small subunit ribosomal RNA", at positions 524 to 776 of the family's 1533-position model. The record is from RNAcentral.